GCCCGUAUGGUCUAGUGGUAUGACGUUCGCCUCACAAUUCGUUACAAACAAAGUGUGUCCGCGACAGGUCCCAGGUUCGAGCCCUGGUGUGGGCA
This is a non-coding RNA of Podospora didyma, 95 nucleotides long. Lineage: Eukaryota; Fungi; Ascomycota; Sordariomycetes; Sordariales; Podosporaceae. The record is from the annotation of a GenBank genome assembly.